This 83-nucleotide small nucleolar RNA is filed under the name Aureobasidium subglaciale EXF-2481. RNAcentral's name for it is "Small nucleolar RNA snR60/Z15/Z230/Z193/J17". It matches the Rfam family "Small nucleolar RNA snR60/Z15/Z230/Z193/J17". Rfam says of the family: The members of this family belong to the C/D class of snoRNAs which contain the C (UGAUGA) and D (CUGA) box motifs. Lineage: Eukaryota; Fungi; Ascomycota; Dothideomycetes; Dothideales; Saccotheciaceae. The record is from Rfam by way of RNAcentral.
UUCAUGAUGAUACAACAUCCAUAGCAUAGUUCAACAGAAUAAUCGUGUUGAUAAAACUCGCAUCAUCUUUCGCUCCUAUCUGA